CUCAGACGAACGCUGGCGGCAUGCCUAACACAUGCAAGUCGAACGAAGCCUUCGGGCUUAGUGGCGCACGGGUGCGUAACACGUGGGAAUCUGGCCCUUCGGUUCGGAAUAACAGUUAGAAAUGACUGCUAAUACCGGAUGAUGACGUAAGUCCAAAGAUUUAUCGCCGAAGGAUGAGCCCGCGUAGGAUUAGGUAGUUGGUAGGGUAAUGGCCUACCAAGCCGACGAUCCUUAGCUGGUCUGAGAGGAUGAUCAGCCACACUGGGACUGAGACACGGCCCAGACUCCUACGGGAGGCAGCAGUGGGAAUAUUGGACAAUGGGCGAAAGCCUGAUCCAGCAAUGCCGCGUGAGUGAUGAAGGCCUUAGGGUUGUAAAGCUCUUUUACCAGGGAUGAUAAUGACAGUACCUGGAGAAUAAGCUCCGGCUAACUCCGUG
RNAcentral lists this ribosomal RNA (437 nucleotides) under uncultured bacterium. Its description in RNAcentral is "bacterial SSU rRNA". It matches the Rfam family "Bacterial small subunit ribosomal RNA", at positions 28 to 507 of the family's 1533-position model. The record is from RNAcentral.